This 904-nucleotide long non-coding RNA is filed under the name Salmo salar (Atlantic salmon). RNAcentral's name for it is "lncRNA (ENSSSAG00000112420.1)". The record is from RNAcentral. Lineage: Eukaryota; Metazoa; Chordata; Actinopteri; Salmoniformes; Salmonidae.
UAUCCUUGUGGGUACAAGAAAUCCUCAGUACCUACAAGGAUAGGAAAACAAGGAACAUUCUCCCACUUGGGGACAAAGCUUAUUUUAAGCUUAGAGGUUAGGGUUACAAUUAGGGUUAGGGGUUAUUUGUUAGGUUUAGGGUUAGGAGUUAGGGUUGGGUUUAGGUUUUAGAAGUUAAAGUUAGGGUUAUUUUUAGGGGUUAGGGAAAAUAGGAUUUUAAAUGGAAAAACAUUUUAGGUCCCCACAAGGAUAGUAAAACAUAUGGUGUGUGUGUAGAGGAUUGCUUCAGCAGUAAACAGCUGUGGAUGAGCUAAGCCCCCCUGAGCAACGGUGUCAUGGAGCAGCUCCUGGGAUGAAUGGAAAUGCCUCUGGGAGUUCAAUCAAAGGAUACAAUUCAGGACCAUGCCCCAGGACUACCUGGCCUGAUGACUCCUUGCUGUCCCCAGUUCACCUGGCCGUGCUGCUGCUCCAGUUCCAACUGUUCUGCCUGCGGCUAUGGAACCCUGACCUGUUCACCGGACGUUCUACCUGUCCCAGACCUGUUGUUCCAGACCUGCUGGAACCCUGACCUGUUCACCGGACGUGCUACCUGUCCCAGACCUGCUGUUUUCAACUCUCUAGAGACAGCAGGAGCGGAAGAGAUACUCUCAAAGAUCGGCUAUGAAAAAGCCAACUGACACUUACUAUUGUGUUACUGACUUGUUACACCCUCGACAACUACUAUGGUUAUUAUUAUUUGACCAUGCUGGUCAUUUAUGAACAUUUGAACAUCUUGGCCAUGUGCUGUUAUAAUCUACACCCGGCACAGCCAGAAGAGGACUGGCCACCCCUCAUAGCCUGGUUCCUCUCUAGGUUUCUUCCUAGGUUUUGGCCUUUCUAGAGAGUUUUUCCUAGCCACCGUGCU